GAUGUCGCGCAGUGGUAGUGCGGCUGCCUGCGACGCAAAAAGUCCCGGGUUUAAUUCCCGGUGGGUCA
Non-coding RNA from Phthorimaea operculella (potato tuberworm), 68 nucleotides. The record is from the annotation of a GenBank genome assembly. NCBI's taxonomy places the organism in Eukaryota, Metazoa, Arthropoda, Insecta, Lepidoptera, Gelechiidae.